This 371-nucleotide ribosomal RNA is filed under the name uncultured soil bacterium. RNAcentral's name for it is "bacterial SSU rRNA". It matches the Rfam family "Bacterial small subunit ribosomal RNA", at positions 26 to 380 of the family's 1533-position model. The record is from RNAcentral.
AGGAUGAACGCUGGCGGCGUGCUUAACACAUGCAAGUCGAACGAUGAACUGGAGCUUGCUCCGGGGAUUAGUGGCGAACGGGUGAGUAACACGUGAGUAACCUGCCCUUGACUCUGGGAUAAGCACUGGAAACGGUGUCUAAUACCGGAUAUGACCUUCAGCCGCAGUGGCUAGGGGGUGGAAAGAUUUUUUGGCAAGGAUGGGACUCGCGGCCUAUCAGGUAGUUGGUGAGGUAAUGGCUCACCAAGCCGACGACGGGUAGCCGGCCUGGAGAGGGUGACCGGCCACGACGUGGGAACUGAGACACGGCCCAGACUCCGUACGGAGGCAGCGAGUCGGGGAAUACGUUGGACAACGAAGUGGGGACGAAA